RNAcentral lists this ribosomal RNA (859 nucleotides) under Acrostalagmus sp. RNAcentral's name for it is "partial large subunit ribosomal RNA". It matches the Rfam family "Eukaryotic large subunit ribosomal RNA", at positions 78 to 965 of the family's 3401-position model. The record is from RNAcentral. Lineage: Eukaryota; Fungi; Ascomycota; Sordariomycetes; Glomerellales; Plectosphaerellaceae.
CCUCAGUAACGGCGAGUGAAGCGGCAACAGCUCAAAUUUGAAAUCUGGCUCUUUCAGGGUCCGAAUUGUAAUUUGCAGAGGAUGCUUUGGGUGCGGGCGCCUUCCGAGUUCCCUGGAACGGGACGCCAUAGAGGGUGAGAGCCCCGUCUGGUAGGAUGCCCAGCCCGUGUAAAGCUCCCUCGACGAGUCGAGUAGUUUGGGAAUGCUGCUCUAAGGGGAGGUAUACUCCUUCCAAAGCUAAAUACCGGCUGGAGACCGAUAGCGCACAAGUAGAGUGAUCGAAAGAUGAAAAGCACUUUGAAAAGAGAGUCAAAUAGCACGUGAAAUUGUUGAAAGGGAAGCGCUCGCUACCAGACUUGGGUACGCGGUUCCGUAGGUGCUCCGCACCUGCGUACUCCUCGUGCCCAGGCCAGCAUCAGUUCUUCGUCGGGUUAAAAGGCUUCGGGAAUGUGGCUCGCCUCGGUGAGUGUUAUAGCCCGUUGUGUCAUGCCCGGUGGGGGACUGAGGUACGCGCUCCGCAAGGAUGCUGGCGUAAUGGUAGCUAGUGACCCGUCUUGAAACACGGACCAAGGAGUCAACCUUAUGUGCAAGUGCCCGGGCGUAAAACCCCAGCGCGGAAUGAAAGUGAACGUAGGUGAGAGCUUCGGCGCAUCACCGACCGAUCCUGAUGUCCUCGGACGGAUUUGAGUGUGAGCAUAUAGGGUUGGACCCGAAAGAAGAUGAACUAUGCGUGUGUAGGGUGAAGCCAGAGGAAACUCUGGUGGAGGCUCGCAGCGGUUCUGACGUGCAAAUCGAUCGUCAAACAUGCGCAUGGGGGCGAAAGACUAAUCGAAUCUUCUGGUAGCUGGUUUCCGCCGAA